GGGGAGUUUUCCGCAAUGGGCGAAAGCCUGACGGAGCAAUACCGCGUGAGGGAGGAAGGCUUUUGGGUUGUAAACCUCUUUUCUUAAGGAAGAAGAUCUGACGGUACUUAAGGAAUCAGCAUCGGCUAACUCCGUGCCAGCAGCCGCGGUAAUACGGAGGAUGCAAGCGUUAUCCGGAAUUAUUGGGCGUAAAGCGCCCGCAGGUGGCCUUUCAAGUCUGCUGUCAAAGACCAGAGCUCAACUCUGGGCCGGCGGUGGAAACUGGGAGGCUAGAGUACGGUAGGGGUAGAGGGAAUUCCCAGUGUAGCGGUGAAAUGCGUAGAGAUUGGGAAGAACACCAGUGGCGAAGGCGCUCUACUGGACCGAAACUGACACUCAGGGACGAAAGCUAGGGGAGCGAAAGGGAUUAGAUACCCCUGUAGUC
This 424-nucleotide ribosomal RNA is filed under the name uncultured cyanobacterium. RNAcentral's name for it is "bacterial SSU rRNA". It matches the Rfam family "Bacterial small subunit ribosomal RNA", at positions 356 to 795 of the family's 1533-position model. Lineage: Bacteria; Bacillati; Cyanobacteriota. The record is from RNAcentral.